UAUUCGGAAUUAUUGGGCGUCAAGGGCGCGUAGGCGGCCUGGCAAGUGGAAGGUGAAAUCCCUCGGCUUAACCGAGGAACUGCCCUCCAAACUGCUUGGCUUGAGACCGGGAGAGGUGAGUGGAAUUCCCAGUGUAGCGGUGAAAUGCGUAGAUAUUGGGAGGAACACCAGUGGCGAAGGCGGCUCACUGGACCGGUACUGACGCUGAGGCGCGAAAGCGUGGGGAGCAAACAGG
This 235-nucleotide ribosomal RNA is filed under the name uncultured bacterium. Its description in RNAcentral is "partial 16S ribosomal RNA". It matches the Rfam family "Bacterial small subunit ribosomal RNA", at positions 542 to 776 of the family's 1533-position model. The record is from RNAcentral.